ACGAACGCUGGCGGCGUGCUUAACACAUGCAAGUCGAACGGAAAGGCCUGCUUUCCCUUGUGGAUUGCGGGUACUCGAGUGGCGAACGGGUGAGUAACACGUGAGUGAUCUGCCCCCAACUUGGGUAUAAGCCUGGGAAACUGGGUCUAAUUCCCGAUAGGACUGCAGGGUGGUGCCUGUGGUGGAAAACGAUUUUCUAGUGGUUGGGGAUGAGCUCGCGGCCUAUCAGCUUGUUGGUGGGGUAAUGGCCUACCAAGGCGGCGACGGGUAGCCGGCCGGAGAGGGUGGACGGCCGCAUUGGGACUGAGAUACGGCCCAGACUCCUACGGGAGGCAGCAGUGGGGAAUAAUGCACAAUGGGCGGAAGCCUGAUGCAGCGACGCCGCGUGGGGGAUGACGGCCUUCGGGUUGUAAACUCCUUUCGACCGCGAGGAAGCCACCUGGUUGGAAGGGUGGUGACGGUAGUGGUAGAAGAAGCACCGGCUAACUACGUG
This 493-nucleotide ribosomal RNA is filed under the name uncultured bacterium. Its description in RNAcentral is "partial 16S ribosomal RNA". It matches the Rfam family "Bacterial small subunit ribosomal RNA", at positions 29 to 507 of the family's 1533-position model. The record is from RNAcentral.